CGCACAUUGCGCCCCCUGGUAUUCCGGGGGGCACGCCUGCUCGAGUGUCAUUGCAGCCCUCAAGCUCCAGCUUGGUAUUGGGUUUUGCGUCCGCAUGGACGAACCCGAAAAAUAUUGGCGGUCCUGUGGGGCUCUCAAGCGUAGUAAAAACUAAUCACCCGCUUGGAAGAGCUUUGCACUGGUCUUGCCGUGUGACUUCCCUUGAUUAUUCAGAAAAUUGACCUCGGAUCAGGUGCGGAUACCCGCUGAACUUAA
RNAcentral lists this unclassified non-coding RNA (255 nucleotides) under Austroparmelina norpruinata. Its description in RNAcentral is "partial contains 5.8S ribosomal RNA, internal transcribed spacer 2, and large subunit ribosomal RNA". Lineage: Eukaryota; Fungi; Ascomycota; Lecanoromycetes; Lecanorales; Parmeliaceae. The record is from RNAcentral.